RNAcentral lists this long non-coding RNA (5876 nucleotides) under Malus domestica (apple). Its description in RNAcentral is "long non-coding RNA (MDOM_LNC010039)". Lineage: Eukaryota; Viridiplantae; Streptophyta; Magnoliopsida; Rosales; Rosaceae. The record is from RNAcentral.
AAUAUUACUUUUUAAUUAUUGAUAUUCUUUAAAUUUCAGUUUUAAAAGUAGUUUAGAAUGCAAAAAAUUCCUUAAAAAAAGUGUAAAAGCAAAUAAGAGAGAAAAGGAUCGGCGAUUUCUGGGUCGGGUGCCGGAGCGGUGCGACAGCGGGUUAGAGAGAGAGAGAGAGAGUUGCCGGAGCCGGGCGACGGUGGGGUAGAGAGAGAGAGAGAGAGAGAGAUGCGGGGUGUCAACUGUCAAGGAAGGUGGGUGGGUGGCGCUGGGCAGGGACAGCAGUAGCGCUGCCUCUCCUCUACGUCCAACCUCACCCAACCUGCUGCAGAGUCAUAGCCGGCACCAUCCCCCACCAUAUCCUACGGUCCAUGAUCACGUCGUCUUCUCCCUGUCAUUGUCUUCUUCCCCAACUUUCUUCUCCACGCUUUCCUCAGAGCCGCCAUGGCCAAUGACUAGCCCCCAUCUGUCCUUUAUCCCUGUCAUGGGCCAAUGAUUUUCUCUGCAAAUUUUUUUACAGUAAUCCUAUGCUUACCACAUUAAUAUACCACAUUAGUGUACCAUAUUAUGUGACAUCUAAUAUAGCUGUCCACAUCAUCUAAAUUAAUCAUAAUUUAAUUUAAAUUAAAAACCAUUUAAUAAACCAAUAAUAAAUAAAAAAAUCUGGAAUUAAAUGAUGUUUGUGGCAUACGAGAAGUCUUCUCCUUCCUUCCUUCCUUAAAUGGUUUUUAAUUUAAAUUAAAUUAUGAUUAAUUUAGAUGAUGUGGAUAGCCACAUCAGAUGCCACAUAAUAUGAUAUACUAAUGUGGUAUAUUAAUGUGGUAAGUAUAGCAUUACUGAUUUUUUUAGGAUAAUGUUAAGAGACUAAAUUUAAAGAGAAAGUUUUGAAAACUAAAUAACAUUUAAGAAUAAUUUAUUACUUAAACAUUAUAAACAUGUUUAUUUAUAUUAAUGAUAUAUUAUUUAGUUUAUAAAUUUAGUUUCCAGAUUUAAUUUUCAUUACUCCUUUUUUAUGCUUCUAAACUCAGCGUUUAAUAAUGAAUGCAUGUGGUGAUUGUUAUUUGUUUAGCUUAAUGUGGGAGUGGAAUAUACGUGUCAAAUAAUAAGUGAAAAGGGCCAAUAAAGAACGGCAAUACUAGGAUAGUCAAAAUUUUAAAUUAAAAUUUAUAACCAAUUGAUGUUGGUGGUUUUUUUUUCUUCAAAUAAACGAUAUUAUUUAUAUUAAAAAUAAUGAGCUUAAUCUUAUAAGAGGUCAACUAUUGAUGUAGAUUUGGAUGGUUGAAUUAUUAUUUAAGGGAAGCUUUUAAGGGUAGGGAUUUCAUUUUUUUUUAUAAAAAUUGGGAUUAGUUGUGGGAUCUACACCACAUCGAACUUUAACAAUUUGAAUAGUUUAUUUUUCAAGUUGUACUCAUCCUUGCAAAAUAUUAGUCAAAUCAAAAAUAUUUUAAGAUAUCUAAUUGGGUUCAAAUAAAUGAACGAAUACUUUGUUAUAUAAGAAACAAUGAAAUUUGAUCUUGAUAAUUAAAUAGGCAAAUGAUUUUAGAUUGAAUUGAAUUUUUGCAAGGAUGAUCUAUGAAUCGAGACUUACAAAAUAGAUGAUUCAAAUCGUUAAAAUCCGAUGUGGAGGGGACCCCACAAAAAAAAAAUAGGGAUCCCUUUGCAUAAAGGGUUUGAUUACUUAAGUGUUUAAUAUGCUUAGUUUUGUUGAUGAUAUAUCAUUUAAUUUGUAAAUUUGAUUAGUUGUCGCAAUAAUUGAAACAAUAUCAUAAAUAAAAUUAUAAAAUAACAUUUUUAUUUAACAUUUUUUUAGUACAUCAAUAUUUUUACACUAAAAGGAAGAAUAGUUUGACUAAGCCACACAGUGGGCAACCUAAUUUUGGUAUUGAAUUCGUCAUCUAUAAGAUUCAAAUCGAAGACAUCUCAUUUCCAAGUGCGGAAAAAUAUCACCAGACCAUAGUACUGAAUGACUAUUUAACAUAUUAAAUACAGCAAAAAAAAAAAAAUACAAUUAACACAUAAACCACUCGGCAUCCAAUAUCUUUAUUUUCUUGGUUCUUUCUCUCACUCAUCUUUCUCUCUAUCUCGUCCGAUCCUCUCUCUUUUUUCCCUUUUCUUCAAUCAUCUCCGAUCCUCUCUUUUUUUUCCCUUUUCUUCAAUCAUCUCUUACUUUCUUUCCUUCCCUCUCCUCUUUCUCCCUCUCAUGUGAUCUCAUCUUUUUAGAUCUCUUUGUCAGAUUAAAAAUUUUUAAAUCGCAAACCAAUCAAGUUUUUUAGUCUUAAAGAAAAUUAUUUUCAAGAAAUGUUUUGUGAAAUGAUAAAAAUUUUCAAAUAGAAUACUAAACAGACCCUAAAUGUCUCUUUCAAGCUAAAUCUUAACUAAAUCCAACAUUGAAAAAUUCAUUGUAGAAAGAGAAAUGCUAAGACUCUUAAAGUGGGACGGUCUAUAAACUCUCGUCAUCUCAUCGUUUAACGUUAUUUAUUUUGUUUUAAAAUAUGAAGUGAUAGAUAACUGCUAAAAAUUUCACUUUUAAGAGAGUAUUCUUAACAUUUUUGUUUGUACAAAGCUAUUUAUCUCGUAAGAGUUUUUAAUGGUUUGUAAAUUUUGUUAGACCAGUUGUGUACUUAAAUUAACUAUGAAGAGCAUGAGUUUGUUGUAAUAGAAAACAAAAAGAAUUAUAUUAUUGAGUAAUGUUUGUCAUGUUGAAUAUUAGAUUAAUUUUGUGGGAUUCUUGGUACUGUUAUAAAAAUUCCCACUUUGUGCCGCUAAAUCUUGUCUAGACGCUAGAUGAUUAGAUAUUGACCCGGUUAAUCCUUAGGCAUUUAAAAAGUAAGAAUAGUAUUUAGAUCGGCUUAUGCAUCAUCUAGCCCGAUUAGACGCUUAUCUAGCCUGUCUAGACCCAUUUAGGUACCCAUUUAGAUCAUGACUCUCACAUAAACAGAAAAUCAAUGACUUUUAUUUUUCAUUUUAUUUUUUUAAUAAAUUAUAAUAAAUUGGUUGAAUACUUAGAUGAAUACUUAUUAUAUGCUUGUUCCUCAUGUUUUCAAUGUGUUUUAAUACUAUACAUUCUACUGUCAUUUUAUUUUACAAUUUAUGUAUCUGAAUACAAUUAUGUAUUAUUUAAGUAUAAAUAAACACUUAUUUAUACUAUAUGUUCCGCUUAGUCUGCCUAGGUUCUCAUCUAAGCCCUGCCUGACUGUCUAGACGUUAGACCCCAACUCGCCGUUUGACUAGCGCUUAGCAUCUUUUCGAACUUUGUUUGGUAUUCAAUUGCAACAAUGAUAUCUCCUUCUUAAGAGUGUUGGAGAAAGGGAAUUUAUUUACAAAUCAGUUAAUAAAUAUGUUGUUUUCGUUGAACAACAAAUUUUUAUCUCACUAAAUGGAGUCAGCUAUGUGAAUCUGUAACACACUUAAUUUUGCAUCAAGUCUUCCGAAGUAUGUUGCUUUCAUAAAAUGGAAAAAUACAAAAAUUUAAUAAAACAAAUCCAAGCGUUUUUUCAGAAGAACAAGGAGGAAAUUUCAUUAAAACAGAGGUCAAAAUAGGAUGAAUUUGGAUGAGCACCACAAUUCCAAAUGCUGGAGUUUCAUGCCAAAUACAGAAUAAACAACAAAGAUAAAACAAAGGCAUAAACAGUAAAGAAAAAUCAAUACUAACCUCUGCGCCGGAAGAAAUGGACAUCUCAAGCUCGUAAUACUAGUGUCGGAUCUAGAACACAUGAGUUUGCAAAUCGCCUUAAAUUCGAGACAAACAGAACGACACCAAGAGGAAGGGCAUACCAGCCAGCUUAGAACAAUUUAGGGUGAGACAGCCCCUAUUAAAAAAAGUUAAAAGGAAGACAAAACUCUACAAACGAAUGGGGGAGAGCAAAAACGAUGUUGAGUAAACUCCUUAUUUCCUUAAAGCUAAGAAAAGAUAUCGGAGAAAAACCCCCAAGACCGAAGACGAUCGCUCUGAUUUGUUUAAUUGGAUACGGUGUACGAAUGACCUGAUAGAGAACGUAUAUUGUGGGACAAAACAAUAGUCUCUAGCAGUAUUUUGCUAUUGUUACAUAUACGUUAUUAGCAACUUGAGACUUACAACAUGAAUUCGAACCCAAUUGAUAUUUAAUUUAAUAAAAUUUAUCAUUUAAAAAAAAACCUACAGUGUCAUUUAUUAUUAAUUGACAUGUACAUUGACACGCCCCGAUCUGGAAUGUCCAAUAAGAUUCCGAAUCGAGCUGUGUUGGCCGACACCUAGAAGGUGACGAAAUCAUAAAGUGUGAUGAUGUGGAAAAUUGUGAAUAAAUUUAAACCUAAGAGUGCCUAAAUACUAGAGUGCACGAGUGAGCGAGAAUAAACCCUCUUCACACAUGACGUUAGAGCAUAAGCAAGUACAGAAGAGAGAAUUAAGAAUCGUACCCAUGAAAUAAUCUCCAAUAUUAAGAAUCGCUACGAAUCUUUGAUGAUAAGAAAGCUCAGCUAAUAAAACCUGAAGGGUGAAGACAAGACAAGGGUGAGUGGUCCUGUAAGUAAAAUUUUAAUAGAAACUAUAUAAAACAUUAUAACCCCUCUCUACAACACCUGUGUAAUUUCCAAAAGAAAAAAAAAUCAUAAUAUACCACAACACAACAUCUCAUCAAUAAUUUCAAAUAAUCAUGCAAUUAAUAACUCAUACUACUACGCAAGUAAGAGUCACUUAGGGUGACUUGUACGACUUACCCAUAUCUCAUCACAUGUACUAGUUCAUCACAUAUUUCAUCACAUAUGUUAGCUCAUCACAUAUUCAUCACAUAUGCUAGCUCAUAACAUAUUCAUCACAUAUGCUAGCUCGUCACGUAUUCAUUACAUAUGUUAGCUCAUAACAUAUUCAUUACAUAUGCUAGCUCGUCAUGUAUUCAUUACAUAUGCUAGCUCGCCACGUAUUCAUUACAUAUGCUAGCUUGUCAUGUAUUUCAUCACAUAUCUUAUCAAUCGGGGCUAGCAUAUACGUCGGAGUCACCUCUAGUGACCUAUGCGACUGAAAUCAUAGCUCAUCAAUCAUUGCUAGCACAUAAGCCGAAGCCACCUCUAGUGACCUGUACGACUGAAAUCAUAGCUCAUUAAUCAUUGCUAACAAAUAAGCCUGAGUCACCUUUAGUGACCUGUACAACUGAAAUCAUCGCUAGCACAUAAGCCGGAGUCACCUCUAGUGACCUAUACGGCACUACAUCUGCACAUGAGUCGGAACCAUCUGUAGUGGUCUGUACCACAGGCCUGGGUAUGAAUGUAUACGCUCUAGUGCUACAAUCACGUGAAAGCUGUACGAGUGAUCGCGGGUCACCUACGAGUUGGAACCAUCUAUAAUGAUCUUUACGACAGGCCUAUACACCUAACUUGGAUCCAAGGUGAGCAUAUAGUGCGGGAGGUGAACAUCACGUGAAAAGACUGUGCCCUGGCCACGGGUGGGAGCACUAACAUCGGGGUGCAGGUUUAUGAGCUUUAAAUGCAUCUAAUACAACAUGUACGACUCAUAGGCAACCUGUACGACUAUGCCGGAGUUGCCUACUAUUGCAACAUGUACGACAAUGUCAGAGUUGCUUAAAACGUAAAUGUAGUCAUAUCAUACCCCCAUCAAUUCAACUAAUACCGUAUACUUACUUGAACCUACCUAAACUUACCUAAACUUACCUGAACUUACCUGUGUGUCUUGCGUUCACCUUUGCACUUCAGAGCAUUCACAAUAAUUAUGUGCAAGGAAUAUACGUAUGGAUAUGCCAUAAUGAAAUCUAAAAUUAAACAUUUCAUAAUAUUUCCAAUUAUAUAAUACGGUGUACUAACUAUUAAUCACCAAAACAUAAAGUUAAAACGCACAUUUUUCACCAAUAUCCCUCACAUUGCUCAAUUCCUAAAACAAGGCUAUUGUCUCGAUU